RNAcentral lists this ribosomal RNA (508 nucleotides) under Callopora sp. QY-2004. Its description in RNAcentral is "partial 16S ribosomal RNA". It matches the Rfam family "Bacterial large subunit ribosomal RNA", at positions 1797 to 2622 of the family's 2925-position model. The record is from RNAcentral. Lineage: Eukaryota; Metazoa; Bryozoa; Gymnolaemata; Cheilostomatida; Calloporidae.
CGCCUGUUUAUCAAAAACAUAGCGAUACGUUAUUAUGUAUGGUUAUACCUGCCUUGUGAUUAAUUUUAACGGCCGCUUUCGUGUUAAAGUAGCAUAAUAAUUUGUCUUUUUAUUGGGGACUGGAAUGAAUGGUAAAACGGAGUCAAGCUGUCUCUUUCAAUUUAGCUCAACUUUUUUUUAAGGUGAAAAAACUUUAAUGCUUUUUUAGGACGAGAAGACCCUGUAGAGUUUCAUAGAAAAGGAAAUUUAUUUCUUGAUCUAUUUUGUUGGGGCAACAAGAGAACAAUAAAAUUCUCUUUAUUAAUAGUUGGGUUACUAAUAAAGUUUAUUCUCGAAGAAAAUUAAGAUAAACUACCUCAGGGAUAACAGCGUAAUUCUCCCAGAGAGAUCUAAUCGAAGGGAGAGCUUGCGACCUCGAUGUUGGACUAAGGUUAAGAAAGGUGUAGGAGUCUUUCUGAUGAGCCUGUUCGGCUUAUAUUCCUUACAUGAUCUGAGUUCAGACCGGAAU